Molecule: long non-coding RNA, 850 nt
Organism: Mobula hypostoma (lesser devil ray)
Lineage: Eukaryota; Metazoa; Chordata; Chondrichthyes; Myliobatiformes; Myliobatidae
Exons: 3
Source: RefSeq, a predicted model, not a curated record
CAAGGAUGUGCUGGGGGCAUUGCUCUUGUGACUUUAACGAACUACUCAGCCGGACAGACCUAGCAGAGGUGGUGGCACAGUGGUAUACCGCAGAGAGGGAGUUACCCUGGCAACUUUCAACAUCGGCUCUGGACCCCAUGAAGUCUCAUGGCACCCGGUUAAACAUGGACAAGGAAACCAACUGCUGAUUACCACGUACUGUCCUCCCUCAGCUGAUUAAUGGGUGGUCCCUUAGGAUCAAGAAUGCUUUGCUUCCUCACCAGUUCUUUGGCCUCAUCUAUCACCUCAGAACCCAAUGCAGGAAGCACAGAUUCUGCUACAGAUGCUUGGCAGGUGAGUAGUUUGUGAGGUGGUUUACUCCUUCUGCUAUUUUCACGAGGCCUUUGUGUGCUCCCAACAUAUGGACUUAAGAUGCUCAGUGCCAUCCUGAAUAAUUUCUCUCUGCUUUGAGCUGUCAAGUGCCAAGGAUUCUCAGUGGGGAUGUUGUAAUUCUUCAAGGAGGUUUGAGAGUGUAAUGAAUCUCUUCCUCUGCCCACCUGCUGACAGGGCUCAGCAGGUAAACAUCAGUGAUAAAAUUCAUCCUCACCCUCAAUCCCCCAGCACAGCCUUUGCCCAGCUGAGGAUCUCAGACUCAGCACAAAAUUCGUGGUCAACUCAGCUGCAGGGAUCUCUUCCCGCCUAUAUAUACUUUUGAGGCAGACGUGUAUAAAUACCAGCAAUACUAUCUUUGCAUAAUCAUUCAAAUUCACUGGAAGAAUAAACAAACUACAUUGAUGUACCUCCCAGGCAUUACUACUUUGGUUAUAGUCAGGAAGUUCUGCUGGGCACACCACGUUGUUUGCAUUCCCAA